GAGUUUAAUCGUGGCUCAGAUUGAACGCUGGCGGCAGGCUUAACACAUGCAAGUCGAGCGGAGAUGAGGUGCUUGCACCUUAUCUUAGCGGCGGACGGGUGAGUAAUGCUUAGGAAUCUGCCUAUUAGUGGGGGACAACAUUCCGAAAGGGAUGCUAAUACCGCAUACGUCCUACGGGAGAAAGCAGGGGAUCUUCGGACCUUGCGCUAAUAGAUGAGCCUAAGUCGGAUUAGCUAGUUGGUGGGGUAAAGGCCUACCAAGGCGACGAUCUGUAGCGGGUCUGAGAGGAUGAUCCGCCACACUGGGACUGAGACACGGCCCAGACUCCUACGGGAGGCAGCAGUGGGGAAUAUUGGACAAUGGGGGAACCCUGAUCCAGCCAUGCCGCGUGUGUGAGGAAGGCCUUAUGGUUGUAAAGCACUUUAAGCGAGGAGGAGGCUACUGAGACUAAUACUCUUGGAUAGUGGACGUUACUCGCAGAAUAAGCACCGGCUAACUCUGUGCCAGCCCG
RNAcentral lists this ribosomal RNA (511 nucleotides) under uncultured microorganism. Its description in RNAcentral is "bacterial SSU rRNA". It matches the Rfam family "Bacterial small subunit ribosomal RNA", at positions 9 to 517 of the family's 1533-position model. The record is from RNAcentral.